Molecule: ribosomal RNA, 913 nt
Filed under: uncultured marine archaeon
Lineage: Archaea
Description: bacterial SSU rRNA
Rfam family: Archaeal small subunit ribosomal RNA
Source: RNAcentral
UCCGGUUGAUCCUGCCGGACCUGACUGCUAUCGGAUUGAUACUAAGCCAUGCGAGUCUUUGCAGUAAUGCAAGGCGGACGGCUCAGUAACACGUAGUCAACUUACCCUAUGGACGAGGAUAAUCUCGGGAAACUGAGCAUAAUACUCGAUAGAUCAUAAUGCCUGGAAUGGUUUAUGAUUAAAAUGAUUCGUCGCCAUAGGAUGGGACUGCGGCCUAUCAGCUUGUUGGUGAGGUAAUGGCCCACCAAGGCGAUUACAGGUACGGGCUCUGAGAGGAGAAGCCCGGAGAUGGGUACUGAGACAAGGACCCAGGCCCUAUGGGGCGCAGCAGGCGAGAAAACUUUGCAAUGUGCGAAAGCACGACAAGGUUAAUCCGAGUGAUUUCUGCUAAAGAAAUCUUUUGCAAGUCAUAAAACCACUAGUGAAUAAGGGGUGGGCAAGUUCUGGUGUCAGCCGCCGCGGUAAAACCAGCACCUCAAGUGGUCAGGAGGAUUAUUGGGCCUAAAGCAUCCGUAGCCGGCUCUGUAAGUUUUCGGUUAAAUCCAUGUGCUCAACGCAUGGGCUGCCGAAAAUACUGCAUAGCUAGGGAGUGGGAGAGGUAGACGGUACUCAGUAGGAAGGGGUAAAAUCCUUUGAUCUAUUGAUGACCACCUGUGGCGAAGGCGGUCUACCAGAACACGUUCGACGGUGAGGGAUGAAAGCUGGGGGAGCAAACCGGAUUAGAUACCCGGGUAGUCCCAGCUGUAAACGAUGCAGACUCGAUGAUGCAUUGGCAUAUAGCCAGUGCAGUGUCGCAGGGAAGCCGUUAAGUCUGCCGCCUGGGAAGUACGUACGCAAGUAUGAAACUUAAAGGAAUUGGCGGGGGAGCACCACAAGGGGUGAAGCCUGCGGUUCAAUUGGAUUCAACGCCGGG